Molecule: long non-coding RNA, 1192 nt
Organism: Lagenorhynchus albirostris (white-beaked dolphin)
Lineage: Eukaryota; Metazoa; Chordata; Mammalia; Artiodactyla; Delphinidae
Exons: 3
Source: RefSeq, a predicted model, not a curated record
AAAAGGAGCUGUUGGUUUUUAAAAGUAACGGUUCUAAGAAGGAUAUAGAUUCUCCCGCCCGCCUCCGCUAAGCCAGGGCUUUUACCGGAUGUCUGUGGGGCCGGAUACCUCCUAGGCUUCCGCGUGAUUGCCGGAGAUAGGGCGUCCGUGCGGAAAUGGUGUUUGUUUCUUGAAACAUCUCGGCAUCUCCGCAGGCUAUAUUCAAUCUGGAGCCGAUAAAAAAACUCUAUAACUAACCAUACCGUGGAUUUUAAAGUAUCCAAGUCAGUGGAGUGAGGACGUGCAGCCUACUAUAACUCUAAGUCUGUGUUUGUUGAUUAUGAAGAUGGCCGUAGGGGGCCCGUGACUCGGUCUUUUUCUGUUUUGAAGACCCCCUGAGGGAACAAGGCUUUACCCUCACCUCCUUGUAAAUUUCCAAAGUCUGUGGUCAUAAGAAACCUGCCAGCAGUAACUGGGGAACUUCCUUCCUUGUCCACGAAACAUACCCGGAAGUGGAAUUGCUGGAGCAUGUGGUAGUUCUAUUUUUAAUUUUUUGAGGAACUUCCAUAUUCUUUUAAAAAGGAAGGAAAAUCUGAUAUAUGCUGCAACAUGGAUGAACCUUGAGGAUAUUAUGCUAUGUAAAAUAAGCCAGUCACACACACACACAAAAGACAAAUACCAUAUGAUUCCACUUAUAUGAAGUAUUUAGAAUAGUCAAAAUCAUAGACAGAGCAAGUAGAAUGGUGUUUGCCAGGGGCUGGAGAGGAGGGAGAAUGAGGAGUUACCAUUUAAUGGGUAUAGGUUUCAGCUUUAAAAGAUAAAACGAGUUCUGGAGAUGGAUGAUUGUGAUGGUUGCAUGACAUUAUGAAUGUAUUUAAUACUACUGAACUGUACACUUAAAAUGGUUAAGUUGGUAAAUUUUAUGUUAUGUGUAAAAUUGUAAUUAAAUAAUGCGAUUACUGAUACUUGAAAAUUUUUGUCAGUAUUUUCUACCUUUUAUAUUGCAAGUUUCUUUUAUAUUGUAGAAUAUACAGUGAGAAUUUCCUUUUCUCAUGUAAAAUUCUUUUUACAGUGGGUAAUUUCUUGAGUAAAAAAUGUUUAAUAAAAAGAAGCUUCAAGUGUUCUUCAAAGGGAAAUGUCAAGAGGGAAAUUGUGUAAGAAUUUUUAUUUUAAGCUGAUGUGAAUUUUAAUAAAUUAAAACGUUUGAUUUAAA